AGUGCUGACGGGCGGUGCGUGGGAAGCCGAAAGGCUUGCCGUGAUCCUAGACCACGGAUUUGCAGCCCACGUACCGUUCCGUCGCCCAU
This 89-nucleotide non-coding RNA is filed under the name Methylomagnum ishizawai. The record is from RNAcentral. Lineage: Bacteria; Pseudomonadati; Pseudomonadota; Gammaproteobacteria; Methylococcales; Methylococcaceae.